GAUAACGCAAAUCCUCCUCGUAAUGCUCUACAUUUAAUCUAAUGAUAAGCAUAUUUAAAUAUAAACAUAACAAAAGUGUGAGUUAUUAAAUAAGUAGCGCGUAAUCUCCAAAAACUGCUUAAUCCUUCUGUAAUUUAUGAAGUCUCUUUUAGAAGGGAUACAGCUGCGGCCAGAGGUGACGAGCAUUAUACAUAUUGUUUAUUAAAUUAUCCAUUAAAUUAACCCAAACUCUACACCUAACCGUCACAGUAAAGUCAAAAUAUUAAUUAUUGUUGUACAGUCUCACAAGAAUUAUAUGAGUAUCCGCAGCUGUAUCCCAUCAAAACUUUACCCGGAACUGUGCUGUUAGCGGAUGAACGUCUUCCGGUGUGGCGGGAGGAGAAGAUCCGCGUGGGAGAAGAGUCCAGCAGAGAGGUGACUGUGUUCCUGCUGCGUGUGGAUGAUCUGCUCCUCUGUCAAUCAUGUGAACAUCUGCAGGAUCACACACACACACACACACACACACACACACACAAAAAUGAAAUGCAACAUCUAAAAAAAACUGGUUUAAGCAGAAUAAUGCAUGCGGGAUGGUGGAUUAUUAGAGAAUAAUAUACACCUGAGGGGUAACGGCAUCACCAUUUCAGCUGUGUAUCAUUUUUCUAAUAAAUCAUCAGCCCGUUGUCUAUUUCUUGUGUAAUUUAUCAAUAAUGGUUCAAAGAAAUGUACAGAAAAUAUCAAAUAACCCUGCAAUUAUGUCCAUCUUCAUACAUAAUAAUGGAUAAAUUAAUCACGGUGAAUUAAAGCUCAUAUUCUGAGCUGCACUUAUUAAAAUACGUCUCACAAUAAUGGCUCAUUUCCACUGAGUGGUGCAGUUUGGUGCGCUUUUAUGGCCGUUUCCACUGUCAAAAGGCGUACCGAACCACUAUUUUGGCACCCUUUUGAAGAGUGACUCAAGAAAGGGUACCAAAAGGCGGAGCCAGACGCACAGCUGAAUGCUAUUGGUUUACAGAGAUACGUCAUCCGCUUAUGCAACAAGCCAGAAUGAAAACAAAAGCCCGCCAUGUUUAAAACACACAGCCGAGAGAUCUUUUACUGUGUAAAUAUAUAUAUAUACAUAUAAUAACAAGCCAUGGUCGACCAGGCUCAAUCAAACCUUGUCAUCUUGAUGAACAGCCACAAAGCCAAGAAGAAGUCUGCAGUUAUAAUCAUGUUCAGAGAAACGUCAGUAAUAAACAUUUAUACACGAGUGUGUGUGUGUAUAAAGCAUCUGUGUUGUGAGAAGUGCUGCUCAUAUGAUAUGUGAGCGACGCGUACAGCUUUACUGUAGACAUUUAUUCGAGCGAGCAUGACGUCGACUGAAACUUUGUCAUUCACCUCGCCCACCUAAAGGUAACGUUGGUGAUGGAAACGCAAGCCUGAUAAAGGUGACCCGUACCGACCCGAACCAUACUGUACCACUCAGUGGAAACCAGACAGUAUUGACCAUAAAUGUGAUUCUGUUAGAAAUUGUAAAGAUCUUAUGUGUUUUUGAAGGACAGUGCUGAAGAAUAAAGAUUUCUGCUCUCAAUAAUAAGUGUAUUGGUCAAACUAUGAUGAUGAAUCUGUUUUAUUAUGGACUGGACAGUUUGUGAUGCUCAAUAAAGCUUCUGAUGUGCUGAAAACA
Danio rerio (zebrafish) is the source of this 1645-nucleotide non-coding RNA. The record is from RefSeq and is a predicted model, not a curated record. NCBI's taxonomy places the organism in Eukaryota, Metazoa, Chordata, Actinopteri, Cypriniformes, Danionidae.